AGCCAUUAAUUCCAUCACUCUAGAAUAAGGGUCUGCUGUAUGAUCAGCCAGAUGCUGGGUAAUGGUGGGGAACAUAAAAGCAACAUAAGGAAGGCUUGGUCAUUAUCCUUUAGGAAUUCAAAACAUCAAUUCAGUAGACCUUUAUUGAAUGCCUACUAUGAGCUUAGCUUUAGGAACAGAGAGAGAAAUUCAUUCACUCACAGAAAACAACUAGAGAAAAGUAAGCGAUCAUUUCAGUCUAGCCACACUGGCCUACUUGCUGGACACCAAGUUCCAUCUUCUAUUUCUGCCCCUGUGUCUGGAUUGCUCUCCCUCUACUGUGCCUUGUAGUUUCCAUGGAUUCCUUCAUGACUCAACGGCCUUCUACAGGAGGUUUUCCCCCCAUCCUGGGCCUACUCUUCUGAGAUUACUUUUGUAUAUGCGAUCGUCAGUUAUUUUCAUAUUGUCUGUUCCAUUAGAAUGAGAAUUCCUAAAGGGAAGGAUUUUUGUUGUUGUUGUUUUUAAUUUAGUACUCCUGGGACUUACUUAGCACAGUGCUUGGCACAUAAUAAAUGCUUGUUGACUGACUGGCUAGUGCUUUAGGAAUUCAGAGGAGGGAAAAACUGUUUUGGACUAAAACAGUCUGUGAAGGCACAUGAAGGCAACAGACCUUAAGCUAGGCUUCUAAGGAAGGAAUAAGUAAGAGGGAGGAGGAGGGAGAGGCCAUUUCAUUCAGGAGAACAACAAUCUCAAGGCCAUAGGAGAACGUUGCAUGAAGAAAAGGGAGCUAAGAGAUAGGAAAGGGCCAAAUUGUGGAGGCUCUUGAAGGGCAUCUUUUUUUCAUUUUCUUUUUUGCUCCCAUUUCCCUAGAGUAAAAGAGAUACCUUGGCCGUACCUCCUGAACAGCCUUAACUCAUCCUUAGGGUUGGGGCAGUACCCAGUGGUGUGGGGAUAUGUAUAGACCCUCUUUCCAGUGUAUCCAGGAUAGCCAAACUGUUCACCACUUGUUAAAAGCUUCGGCCCCCCUCAGAGAGGGGAGAAAUGAACAGAUGUUUCCAUGAAUCAGGAAAACAGUGUUGGUUCCCAGAUGGGCUCAUCUAGAAAGCCUUGUCUCUUUCUUUCUCUCUGAAGCCUCUUAUAACAAGGUCUUUCUUUUUGGAGAGCAGCUGAUCUGCAGUUUGCAAGGCGAGCAGAGCUUUGUUGUUGUGGGGGCAUCAGUCAAGCCCCCUCACCCAUCCGGUUUCCCUGAAAGCCUUUACAUGGCAGGUCAUGCCAAGCAGAGAUCUAAAAUGGUGACUUGUCAUUCCUGGUGACCAAAGCCAUUUAAUAGCUACUUCCUUGUCAGAGGACUCCUUCUAGCUGAGUGAGGGAUCAUGGGCUUAGAAAGAAAUCUUGCCUAUGGGUCUUAUCUUUUUCUCUCUAUUUUAAAAAAAAUACCAACUUGCAUUUCUAUGGUGAAUGUGAGCUCCUUGAGGGCCAGAAUUGUUUUUUUUUUAAUCGCUAUAUCCCUAUUAUCUAGCACAUAUUAGGUUUUUGAUAAAUAUAUGUUUAAUUGUGGUUUUUAUUUUACAUUUCCCAAAGGGAUUUCAAAUAUGGGCACUUCAUUUGAUAGCAAGGAUCUUCCUCAGAGAUCAUUUAAUUUCAGGAUUUGCCACUAAAACUAGAAAUCCAAGGGUUCUUUGAAUCCUAAAUCUAAGCACAAAAACCAACCCACUAGAAAUAUCCUAGAGAGGAAAAAAAAUAGAAAAAAAAAUCUCAAAUAGAAGCUUCACUGAGAACCACGAGCCAAAAUGAAUGCUGGGAUAUAGUAAACAGGGGGAUGGGAGAAGGGUUUGGAUUUGGGAAGGGUGCCAGCUAUAAAGGGAAGUACCCUAAGUCAGAGUGCUUUAGGAGGGACUGGUAAGCAAAGGGUAAUUGUGAUACUCUGUCUGCCUGCCUCAGGCUCAGGAAGACAGGAACCUGUGUUUUUUUUUUCCUCCAGACUGUUAAGAUAGAAAAUUCCCAGAGAACACAUUUCUAGCAAGAUGAGUGACCUGAUACCCUGUAAUUUCCUGGCUCACAAAGACAAAAGAAGGCUUGACUUUGUGUUCUUCAUGUCUCACUCCUGUGCAAGUCUGAAACAGUUGGGUGGCACUCCCUAAGUUUCUCUGUGGAAGUCACCUUCUGCCCUUCAGAGGUGCAGGUGAGCAGAUCUCUCUUGGACAUAAAAAAGGAAAGAAGAAAAUAGGGCUUGAGAAGAAAGAUCAGUUCUGGAUUUGGAUAUGUAAAAAUCCACAAAGAGGUUUAUUUGGAGCACCAAAAUCCACGGGUCUCAGAUCUGAAGAAAGACCAUUUCCAGGAGCAGAGAUUCAGGCUGCAGAAGAUCAGCAUCAAAUCAGGAUAUAAUAUGACAGGCCAUGGAAGAGUUGGUUAUUACUGUGAUCAAUCAGCCUUCUUAAAGUUCGAUUCUUAUAAAAGGUGUGCCAUUGUGCAGGUUCUGGGUCAUAAUCACUUUGUUUUCUCCUGCUUCCACUGUGUCAUUAAUAUCAUGUAAGUAUGGUAGAAUAUGCAAUUAAGAUCCAUGUAACACACUAAGAAUAAAACUCAACCUAUAAUACUCUUUUGGGGAUGGAUAAACCCCCAGGUUUUAUUGAGGGUCUUCUGACUCUUGAUUAAGUAGAUCUCUUGUUGAGGUGAUAUGCCUUGUUAGGGAGAAUCAUUAAAGGACCAAACUAAGCAUGUAGCUUAAACAAAAAUAGCUUAGAAAGCUUAUAGUAAAGGGGCAGCUGGAUGACACAGUGGAUAGUAUAUCAGUCCUGGAGUCAGGAGGACCUGAGUCCAAAUCUGAUACUUGAUACUUCCUAGAUGUGGAUCCUGAGCAAGUCACUUAACCCUGAUUGUGAGAGAGAGAGAGACAGAGACA
Molecule: long non-coding RNA, 2881 nt
Organism: Antechinus flavipes (yellow-footed antechinus)
Lineage: Eukaryota; Metazoa; Chordata; Mammalia; Dasyuromorphia; Dasyuridae
Exons: 3
Source: RefSeq, a predicted model, not a curated record